Molecule: transfer RNA, 72 nt
Filed under: Marmota monax (woodchuck)
Lineage: Eukaryota; Metazoa; Chordata; Mammalia; Rodentia; Sciuridae
Description: tRNA.Ala
Source: RNAcentral
GCAGCUGUGGUUCAGUGGUAGAACGCUCACCUAGCAUGCGUGAAGGCACUGGGUUCAAUCCUCAGCACCACA